AUGGUGGAUGCCAUAGCUAGGCCUUGCUCCAUCAUCAACCCAUCAAUGGAAACAUCCACUACAGCCCAUAAACCCUCACCCAACUGUUUGCAGAACCUGAGGAAGGUCACCUUCCUAACAGGGACAAGAGUUUGUGAAAUAGUUGCGGUCUUGAGUAAUGCGUACCCUUUUUUGAGCAAAAAGGCCUUCUCUCCAAUUUCCAUUAGUAAGAGAAAUCAGGGCUGGCGACUGCGUACCUACUUCCACUUGCAGAAGCAUUUGCGUGCGGCGUGCACUUGCAGAAACUUUUGUGCUCGUGGUUGCAUGCUGAUCGAGUCGAAAUACAGUAGCGACGACCAGAGAUCCUCUAUAAGAUUCAGCAUCAGGCGAUCACCUCAAAACCACACAGAGCACCUGACCCUCAGGUCCACACGCACGCCGGGUGCAAUGACGCUUACCUUCGCCGUGCGCCGGCGAGAGCCAGUCCUCGUCGUCCCGGCCUCACCGACACCCCAGGAAACAAAGCGCCUCUCCGACAUCGACAGUAAGGAGUCUCUGCGGGUGCUCAUGCCCGGCGUCUUCGUCCACCGCGGCGGCCCGGCGCGCGGCGACGACGACCCGGUGGACGUCAUCGCCCGAGCGCUGUCGGAGGCGCUGGUGCACUACUACCCCCUCGCAGGGCGCUUCAGGGAGGUGGAAGGUGGCAAGCUGGUCGUGGACUGCACUGGCCAGGGCGUGCUGUUCGCGGAGGCCGACGCCGACGUGCGGCUGGCCGAGCUCGAGGAGGCUGCCGGUGGUGGCCAGGGGCUGACGCCGCCGUUCCCGUGCAUGGAUGAGCUCCUCCUCGACGUGGAUUGCUCUAGCGGCGGCGUGCUCACCUGGCCGUUGGUGGUGAUCCAGGUCACGCGGCUCCUCUGCGGCGGCUUCGUCUUCGGCAUGCGCAUCAACCACGCCAUGUGCGACGCCACGGGAGUCUACCUGUUCAUGUCCGCCAUCGCCGACCUCGCCCGCGGGCUCCCCGCGCCGGCCGUCGCGCCUUCAUGGUCCCGCGGCCUCCUCGACGCGCCGCACAACAAAAACGCCUCCACGGUGCACCGGCCGCGUCGACGUUCGAGGUCCUCGCGGCGCUCCUCUGGCGCGCUCGCGCUCCCUGCGGGCGAGGUCGCGCGGCUCGGCAUCAUCGCGAGCUUCAGGAGGAACGCCGCCCUGCGGCUCCCCACGGGAUACUACGGCAACGCGUGCGUGCCGCUCAGAGCGGCGGCGCCCGCCGACGACAUGGGCGGGAGCUCGCUGGGCGACGUGGUGGAGAUGAUACAGAAGGCUAAGGCAGCCGCCGCGCACGUGAGGUCCGCGGCCAACAUGCUGGCGCUGCACGGGCCGCCGCCGUUCGACUCGCCCAACAUGUUCCUCCUCUCCGACCUCCGGCACGUCGGGUUCCACCGCGUGGACUUCGGGUGGGGCGAGCCGGUGUAUGGCGGGCCGUCUCAGGUGCAUCUCGGGGGGACGUUCUUCGUGGCCGUCAAGGACGGUGACGGGGAGGACGCCGUGGCCGUGCCGGUCAUGCUGCCGUGGACGGCCAUGGAGCGGUUCGCGGCAGAGAUCGAAACCUCGCUCCAGGCUUGA
RNAcentral lists this ribosomal RNA (1602 nucleotides) under Triticum aestivum (bread wheat). Its description in RNAcentral is "partial small subunit ribosomal RNA". The record is from RNAcentral. Lineage: Eukaryota; Viridiplantae; Streptophyta; Magnoliopsida; Poales; Poaceae.